This is a long non-coding RNA of Oreochromis aureus, 1964 nucleotides long. Lineage: Eukaryota; Metazoa; Chordata; Actinopteri; Cichliformes; Cichlidae. The record is from Ensembl.
AGAAGAAAAAACAUGUGCCCACUUUUUUUUUUUUUUUUUUUUUUUUUUUCCCCCCCAGUGGCCCUAAUCCUCUUCCGUAGAAAAGGGAAGACGUUUUACUUAUUAAAUAUAAAAUGACACUUUAAGGCAACAUUGGGUUUAUUUACUGCCACUUAUCCUUACAACAUAGCCUUGGUGUUCUGACCUGCACUAAUAAAGUUCAGUAUCAUGAGUUGAGUGGAGGGGGAAAAAAACUUGACUUGGGCUCCAGAAAGAUUUUGAUCUGAUCUUCUGAAGUAGCCAUCUGUUUAUUAGCGGUUCACUGUGAUAGUGUGCUUCUGUUAAUACUGGGCUAGCUUUUUAUUGAAGUGGGGGGGGAAAAACAAAACCCGUUUUCUGUAUUUCACAGUAAGAGCUUAGAGUCUUUAAAGGGAACUGAUAUUAGCCUACUGCAUAAGAAUUUAUUUAUUUAAGCUAGCUGACAUGAUGUAAGCCUGAGCAUCUUUUAUAGAGAGGCUUCAGAAGAGGAGCAACGCUUAUUGUGGCAAGCUGGCUUGAAUCACAAAUAAGGAUCAAAUGUUCAUAUACUAAAAUGAGGCUUGCAGAGUUGCAGAGCACAGAUCGUAGCUCUCCACUGAAGAGAACACAGGACAAAAAUGUACUGCAGGGCGGAUGGAAAGAAACUAUAAAAUGAACAGAUUAUUUCAACCCAUUUAAAAACUGGAGAUGUGGUUUAACUGAUCAAUGGAGCAAGACAACCAUACAAGAGCACUCUUCUGUCAUUCAUCGAGGUGGACAGAGAAUCAGUCCUACCACAUAUUCACAUGAUGAUUCUACAGAUUGUAUUUAUCAGAGAGUAACUUGAAAUGGUAAAAUCAAAUUGUCUGUUAGCACUUCCUCAACCUCAUUCUAACAUGAAAAUGUUAGUGAGUUUGCAGGGCAUGAAUGAAUCCUGUAAUGGCCCAAGUUUAAAUGAUAUGGACAAUGUGCACUUCUUUUUUCUUUUUUUUUUUUUUUAACAGGAAUGAAAUCACUGUUACUCUAGCAAUAAGGCAGCUUUAUUGUGACUGAAGAACAGAUUAGGAAAGGGGUUACGUGUUUAAUUUUGCUAAGAACGUUGAAUUUUUGUCAAAUUCUUGAUUAUAGUCAAACUCCAUGCAUCUCUCUCUCAUAUGGUUAAGUGGUUUAGUGACUCAACUCAUUAAGCUAGCCGGUGGAAGAAAAUGGGUUGGUUGUGUUCAAACCAUAACAUUGAGUUAUAUGAAAUUAGGCAUGCAUACAGUGUGCUGAGCAUCAGCCUUAUUGGCUUUUGCAUUUUUCCAUCGAUCCAUGUUUUAUAUGAUCUCUGCUCCCAUGUGUGUAUGCUGGGGUUUGUUUUUUUUUUGUUUUUGUUUUUUUUUUUCUUCAAUUCAUGCUCGUGUUUAUCCUAUCAAAAUUCCUUUUUGUCCAAAAUCCUUCACUACAACCUCAAAUUGAUGCUUUUGUUCAUUUUCCUGUAGAUAAGAUGACUGUACUUUUCUAAAACACUGAAGACAGAAAGAUAAGGGAACAUUUUUUUGUUUCUAAGAUUUCUUCUAUUUCAUCCUGCCCCUGCCAGCUUUCAAAUGUUUUCAAGCUGUGGGACUGACUAUUAGGGUUUGUAUCACUAGUCAAGUCAUCAUUUGAUUAUUUAACUGGAUGUUAAACUGUUAUGCCGAAACUCGAUUAACAUGUACAGAUCAGUUUUUGUUAGGAUUAUAUUAAGUUUGAUUUGAUUGUACAGAUCUGUUAGGAAAAAAAAUAAAAGUUCUUGAAAGUGGUUUCAGAUCGUCUGGAAGUGCCUUUUUUUUUUUUUUUUUUUUUUUUUCUUUUUUUUUUUUUUUGUAUAAAUUUUUUAAACUGCUUUGGCAUACUACUGUGUGAUACUCCUCAUCUCAGGUCAAGCCAGCUAAGAAAGUUUGGCUUUGUUGAACUUAGUUUUUUUUUUUGGUAUUCUUGAAUGGAAC